RNAcentral lists this ribosomal RNA (563 nucleotides) under Pristimantis cruentus (Chiriqui robber frog). RNAcentral describes it as "partial 16S ribosomal RNA". It matches the Rfam family "Bacterial large subunit ribosomal RNA", at positions 1832 to 2597 of the family's 2925-position model. The record is from RNAcentral. Lineage: Eukaryota; Metazoa; Chordata; Amphibia; Anura; Strabomantidae.
CACCUCUUGCCCAACUAUAAGAGGCCCCGCCUGCCCAGUGACUCCUUGUUCAACGGCCACGGUAUCCUAACCGCGCAAAGGUAGCGUAAUCACUUGUUUUCUAAAUAAAGACUAGUAUGAAAGGCAUCACGAGAUUUAAACUGUCUCCUUUCCCUAAUCAGUGAACCUAAUCUCCCCGUGAAGAAGCGGGGAUAACCCUAUAAGACGAGAAGACCCUGUGGAGCUUAAAACAUUCCUACACGUGCUACCAUAUUCUCCGCCAAGGCCACUACCUUACAGCACGCUGAUUAUAUGUUUUUGGUUGGGGUGACCACGGAGAACAAUAUAUCCUCCGCGAUGAAAGGGGUAUGCCCCUAAAUAAUAAGCCACAACUUAACCUAUCAAUAAAUUGACAUCCAUUGACCCAAUAUUUUGAUCAACGAACCAAGUUACCCCAGGGAUAACAGCGCAAUCCACUUUUAGAGCUCCUAUCAACAAGUGGGCUUACGACCUCGAUGUUGGAUCAGGGUAUCCCAGUGGUGCAACCGCUACUGAAGGUUCGUUUGUUCAACGAUUAAAACCCU